This 373-nucleotide ribosomal RNA is filed under the name uncultured organism. Its description in RNAcentral is "partial 16S ribosomal RNA". It matches the Rfam family "Bacterial small subunit ribosomal RNA", at positions 527 to 896 of the family's 1533-position model. The record is from RNAcentral.
GUAGGUGGCAAGCGUUGUCCGGAGUUAUUGGGCGUAAAGCGCGCGCAGGCGGUUCUUUAAGUCUGAUGUGAAAGCCCACGGGCUCAACCGUGGAGGGUCAUUGGAAACUGGAGAACUUGAGUACAGAAGAGGAAAGCGGAAUUCCACGUGUAGCGGUGAAAUGCGUAGAGAUGUGGAGGAACACCAGUGGCGAAGGCGGCUUUCUGGUCUGUAACUGACGCUGAGGCGCGAAAGGGUGGGGAGCAAACAGGAUUAGAUACCCUGGUAGUCCACGCCGUAAACGAUGAGUGCUAAGUGUUAGGGGGUUUCCGCCCCUUAGUGCUGCAGCUAACGCAUUAAGCACUCCGCCUGGGGAGUACGGCCGCAAAGGCUG